CCCUUAGAUGUUCUGGGCCGCACGCGCGCUACACUGAUGCAUUCAACGAGUUUCUUCCUGGUCCGAGAGGAAUGGGUAACCUUUUGAAAGUGCAUCGUGAUAGGGAUAGACUAUUGCAAUUAUUGGUCUUCAACGAGGAAUUCCUAGUAGACGUAGUUCAUCAGACUGCAUCGAUUACGUCCCUGCCCUUUGUACACACCGCCCGUCGCUACUACCGAUUGAAUGGUUCAGUGAGAUAAUCGGACAGAAAACUUGGCAACUGGCAACAGUUGACGUGCAUUUUUGGAAGACGAUCAAACUUGGUCAUUUAGAGGAAGUAAAAGUCGUAACA
This 331-nucleotide ribosomal RNA is filed under the name uncultured eukaryote. Its description in RNAcentral is "partial 18S ribosomal RNA". It matches the Rfam family "Eukaryotic small subunit ribosomal RNA", at positions 1470 to 1796 of the family's 1831-position model. The record is from RNAcentral.